RNAcentral lists this non-coding RNA (248 nucleotides) under Glossina palpalis gambiensis. RNAcentral describes it as "eukaryotic large subunit ribosomal RNA". It matches the Rfam family "Eukaryotic large subunit ribosomal RNA", at positions 2429 to 2617 of the family's 3401-position model. The record is from RNAcentral. Lineage: Eukaryota; Metazoa; Arthropoda; Insecta; Diptera; Glossinidae.
CUAGUCUGGCAGUGUAAGGAGACAUAAGAGGUGUAGAAUAAGUGGGAGAUAUUGUUCUUUCGGGUUCAUUAUAGCCAAUGAAAUAACACUACUCUAAUUGUUUUCUUACUUACUACUUUGUAGCCUACCGAAUACGAAAACAUCCCAGAGGCAUAACUAGAUUCAAAGUGGACCGACUGACCGCAUUUCGAAAGGACCUUGUUCUGGACGAACAAGAUUAAGUGGAGGGUAGUGUAUUCCAGAUAAGG